Molecule: long non-coding RNA, 882 nt
Organism: Erpetoichthys calabaricus (reedfish)
Lineage: Eukaryota; Metazoa; Chordata; Cladistia; Polypteriformes; Polypteridae
Exons: 2
Source: RefSeq, a predicted model, not a curated record
ACGCAAGAACCUUCUGCACAGGAGCUCCUCUCAAUCCCUGCAACGCUUGUAUUAAAUAGGGUUAGCGGCUUCGCGAGCGAGCACGAGCGUAUCUCGACGCGCUCCUCUCGGAAGAGCUGAUACGCACUACAAGUUACUUUUUUUCUUGGGGAUCCCCUUGUCACACUAAGGCAUGCACAAAUUUAAAUGCGUCGCACCUUUUCCUUUGCUAACAGUAGGUGGCUAUAAAAAGAACCGCUCUGAUGACGGAGUACGCGCGCGCCCUCCAGCAGGUCUGAUCUGGAGGCGCGCUCGACCCGUCGCCGGCGCCCCGCUGCGUGAACCUGCUAAAGACGAAAUUAACUCCGCACUUCAAUUAUUAAAACAGCUCCGAGAAGACAUGGAGUGAGAGCAGCUGGCCCCGCACCUUCCUGUCGAGGCACUAUAAAACGAGUCAUCGGAGAGUGAUGUUUGCUAUUAGACCCAGAACUCCAGCAGGAGCAAGCUCUAUAAUGAUGUAAUAUCUGCCAUACACUUAAGUGAUUCUGUGUAUUGAGAGGAAAUGCUGUUAUUUGUUGGAAUCAUCAUGCCCAGUUUUCUAUCGUUUUAAUUUAUUAAACUGGGACACCCCAAUAUUUCAAAUCAACCUUUGGAAGUCUGUCCUGCAGUCACACUACAUAAUACAGUAUUAGCUCUACUUAACAUGUCUUUGAAAGUUAGUGUACUUGUAAAACAAAGCCUGAAGAAGUUGAAAUCGUUGGCUACAUUAAACUAGAAGAAAUACAAUCAAAGAGGAGUACAUUGACAAUGUUGAUGUCUUGUUUAACAAUACCACUUUGCUUCUAAACUUUCAAGGUACCCUUCACCACUGUGGUCACUGCUUAAUAAAUAAUUUAAAAUGUA